Molecule: ribosomal RNA, 738 nt
Filed under: uncultured archaeon
Lineage: Archaea
Description: bacterial SSU rRNA
Rfam family: Archaeal small subunit ribosomal RNA
Source: RNAcentral
GUAGUCCUGGCUGUAAACACUGCCCGCUUGGUGUGGCCUGUCCUCCGGGGGCAGGCCGUGCCGGAGCGAAGGUGUUAAGCGGGCUGCUUGGGGAGUACGGCCGCAAGGUUGAAACUUAAAGGAAUUGGCGGGGGAGCACCGCAACGGGAGGAUGCGUGCGGUUUAAUUGGAUUCAACGCCGGGAAACUCACCGGGGGAGACCAGCGAAUGUGGGUCAAGCUGACGACUUUACUCGAAUAAAAGCUGGGGAGGUGGUGCAUGGCCAUCGUCAGCUCGUACCGUAGGGCAUUCACUUAAGUGUGAUAACGAGCGAGACCCCCAUUCCUAGUUGCCAACCUUUCUGAAAAGGAAGGCGCACUCUAGGAAGACCGCUUUCGCUAAGGAAGAGGAAGGUGGGGUCGACGGUAGGUCAGUAUGCCCCGAAUCCCCCGGGCUACACGCGCGCUACAAAGGACAGGACAAUGGGUUCCGACCCCGAAAGGGGAAGGUAAUCUCGAAACCUGUUCGUAGUCCGGAUUGAGGGCUGUAACUCGCCCUCAUGAAGCUGGAUUCCGUAGUAAUCGCGGAUCAACAGUCCGCGGUGAAUAUGCCCCUGCUCCUUGCACACACCGCCCGUCAAGCCAUCCGAGUCGGUUUUAGGUGAGGCCCAGCCGUAAGGUUGGGUCGAACCUAGGGUCGGCGAGGAGGGCUAAGUCGUAACAAGGUAUCCGUAGGGGAACCUGCGGCUGGAUCACCUCC